GACGAACGCUGGCGGCGUGCUUAACACAUGCAAGUCGAACGGAAAGGCCCUGCUUGUGUGGUGUGCUCGAGUGGCGAACGGGUGUGUAACACGUGUGUAACCUGCCCUUGACUUUGGGAUAACUUCAGGAAACUGGGGCUAAUCCCGGAUAGGAGCUCCUGCUGCAUGGUGGGGGUUGGAAAGUUUCGGCGGUUGGGGAUGGACUCGCGGCUUAUCAGCUUGUUGGUGGGGUAGUGGCUUACCAAGGCUUUGACGGGUAGCCGGCCUGAGAGGGGGACCGGCCACAUUGGGACUGGGAUACGGCCCAGACUCCUACGGGGGGCAGCAGUGGGGAAUAUUGCACAAUGGGCGGAAGCCGGAUGAAGCAACGCCGCGGGCGGGAUGACGGCCUUCGGGUUGUAAACCGCUUUCGCCUGUGACGAAGCGUGAGUGACGGUAAUGGGUAAAGAAGCACCGGCUAACUACGUG
This 468-nucleotide ribosomal RNA is filed under the name uncultured bacterium. Its description in RNAcentral is "partial 16S ribosomal RNA". It matches the Rfam family "Bacterial small subunit ribosomal RNA", at positions 28 to 507 of the family's 1533-position model. The record is from RNAcentral.